This 459-nucleotide ribosomal RNA is filed under the name uncultured bacterium. RNAcentral's name for it is "partial 16S ribosomal RNA". It matches the Rfam family "Bacterial small subunit ribosomal RNA", at positions 338 to 795 of the family's 1533-position model. The record is from RNAcentral.
CCUACGGGGUGCAGCAGUGAGGAAUAUUGGUCAAUGGGCGUAAGCCUGAACCAGCCAAGUCGCGUGAGGGAUGAAGGUUCUAUGGAUCGUAAACCUCUUUUAUAAGGGAAUAAAGUGCGGGACGUGUCCGGCUGUGAGAGUACCCGAAGAAAAAGCAUCGGCUAACUCCGUGCCAGCAGCCGCGGUAAUACGGAGGAUGCGAGCGUUAUCCGGAUUUAUUGGGUUUAAAGGGUGCGCAGGCGGAUUUUUAAGUCAGCGGUCAAAUCGUGGGGCUCAACCCCAUCCAGCCGUUGAAACUGGGGAUCUAGAGUGUGCGAGAGGUAUGCGGAAUGCGUGGUGUAGCGGUGAAAUGCAUAGAUAUCACGCAGAACCCCGAUUGCGAAGGCGGCAUACCGGUGCACAACUGACGCUCAGGCACGAAAGCGUGGGUAUCGAACAGGAUUAGAUACCCGAGUAGUC